This 73-nucleotide transfer RNA is filed under the name Caudoviricetes sp. Its description in RNAcentral is "tRNA-Pro". It matches the Rfam family "tRNA". Rfam says of the family: Transfer RNA (tRNA) molecules are approximately 80 nucleotides in length. Their secondary structure includes four short double-helical elements and three loops (D, anti-codon, and T loops). Lineage: Duplodnaviria; Heunggongvirae; Uroviricota; Caudoviricetes. The record is from RNAcentral.
CGGGGUGUAGCGCAGUUGGUAGCGCGCCUGCUUUGGGAGCAGGAUGCCGGGGGUUCGAGUCCCUUCACUCCGA